Molecule: long non-coding RNA, 661 nt
Organism: Talpa occidentalis (Iberian mole)
Lineage: Eukaryota; Metazoa; Chordata; Mammalia; Eulipotyphla; Talpidae
Exons: 4
Source: RefSeq, a predicted model, not a curated record
GCCGCCCUCGGUGGAGCGAUAAGCUGCUCCAUUUUACAGACGGGGAAGUUAAGGGGCAGGUCGCGGCCCGGCCAGACCCUAAAAGGCUCCUCGAGUGGUUGCCUAAGUCCAGCACCCUAACCGGUCCUGGGAAGGUCAACCCUCGGCUUCCUACAAGUUAAGCAACCUGGGGAAGCCGGUGCCCAAGCCUUUCCUGUUGGGACCCUCAGUCCUGCCGGCCAAACCAGCCCACUUAGCAAAAAAGCCCUGGGAACAAUUUAUACAACUCAACUGCAGCGAUUACUAGAAGGGCCACUUUGCGAGCUUAGCAGGCACAGAGGCUUUUAGCGAUCAUUCGGUUCUCAAAAUAUUUUGAUGGAAUUUUUCCCCUCAACUCAAAACGCUGCCAUUUUAUUUCAAAAGCUUUUCUAAAUGUUUCUAUUAGGCUCCUGCUUCUGCUUCCAGAGUUCAUUGCAACUUCAACCUUGCUGUUACAACCUGGUCUGCAAAGUGAUGCCUCUUAUGAGAUUUAUUUAUUUAUACAUACAAGCACUGGAUACAGUCAGAAGCACAGGAGGGUGAGAGAAUUCACCAGAGCCAGACCGGGGAGCAGAGCAGGCAGAAGGACCGAACUACACUGCCGAGGGGAGCAGCGGGCGGCAGGAGAGGUCCGCGCGCCAUG